RNAcentral lists this long non-coding RNA (1182 nucleotides) under Linum usitatissimum (flax). RNAcentral's name for it is "long non-coding RNA (LUSI_LNC007985)". The record is from RNAcentral. Lineage: Eukaryota; Viridiplantae; Streptophyta; Magnoliopsida; Malpighiales; Linaceae.
UCAAAAUUGCAUUAGCUGUUUGAAUGACUGGUUCAAGCUCAAAUCGUUAAUAUGGUUGUAAAACAAUGGUUCUAAUGCAAAAUAACUAAAUAAAACAGGAACAAAGGGAAUUGAGAGGAUGUAAACUUCAUAUAUCCAGGUGAAAAGCUUCACCUCAACCGUUCUCCACAAUUACAGGCUUUUAUAACCCCCAACAGUUCUUCCUUCCCACCAUAAAAAUGCCCCCCAUUUGCUCCCCCGCCUUCCUAUUUACACCCCCCAACAACAAACAUCAAAAAGAAGUAAUUCAAAACCCUAAACCCCUACUCUCUCUUCCCAUUUUCCUUCUUACCCUCCCAUAUACUUUCUUCACCACUUCCCCUACAGUUUCAGUUAACAACAACGGGAUCGAUGUACUGAUUUCUGUUAUCAGUCUCUAGUUACUUAUCAGUAGUUUGUAUCAGUCGUCAUGUAGAAUUUUCCAUCUGUGUUCGUUCCUCAAUCAAAUCAACCUCAGGAACAUUUAAGCUAGUUGAACUAAGUUUGAAUGAGGCAAUUGUUUCAGUUUAUAGCAAGAAUUGUAUGUUAGUGGCAACAUACAACAUAUAAUUAUUUUUGGCCUCUUACUGCAUUUACUUCAUUGUGGAAAGUGAAUCGCCUGAAAUUUAAACAGCACCGGAAAAGUUCGCUUUCAAAUGACUUUGUCGUGAUCUAAUUUUCUCGCAUGGUCAGAAAAAUACUCAAGAUUUUAUCCAUCAAACCAAGACCUCAAUGCUCUGAGCCUCAACCUGAUUAUAGUUUCCGAGGAAAAUCGUUUGCAAUAACAAACACUGAACAGAUUGUUCCAAUCCUGGUUUAACCGUCUAAACCGAAAUUGCAGUUGAACCGUGAUUCAAACCCAAUUAUAUCAAAAUCGCAUUAGCUGUUUUAAUGACUGGUUCAAGCUCAAAUCGUUAAUAUGGUUGUCAAACACUGGUUCUAAUGCAAAAUAACUAAACAAAACAGGAACAAAAGGAAUUGAGAGGAUGUAAACUUCAUAUAUCCAGGUGAAAAGCUUCACCUCAACCCUUCUCCACAAUUACAGGCUUUUAUAACCCCAAAAGUUCUUCCCUUGCCACCAUAAAAAUGCCCCCCAUUUGCUCCCCCACCUUCCUAUUUACACCCCCCAACAACAAACAUCAAAAAGAAGUAAUUCAAAACCCU